Molecule: ribosomal RNA, 207 nt
Filed under: uncultured bacterium
Lineage: Bacteria
Description: partial 16S ribosomal RNA
Rfam family: Bacterial small subunit ribosomal RNA
Source: RNAcentral
UGCGUAGGUGGUAUGGCAAGUCAGAAGUGAAAUCCAGGGGCUUAACCCUUGAACUGCAUUUGAAACUGUAUUUCUUGAGUGUCGGAGAGGUUGACGGAAUUCCUAGUGUAGCGGUGAAAUGCGUAGAUAUUAGGAGGAACACCAGCGGCGAAGGCGGUCAACUGGACGAUAACUGACGCUGAGGCGCGAAAGCGUGGGGAGCAAACA